Molecule: long non-coding RNA, 520 nt
Organism: Capsicum annuum
Lineage: Eukaryota; Viridiplantae; Streptophyta; Magnoliopsida; Solanales; Solanaceae
Exons: 3
Source: RefSeq, a predicted model, not a curated record
UCAUCUUCACUCUUCACCAUCGCAUACCCAAUCACUUCAGCUGUGAAAUGUUAUCGUUUAUUGUGAGUAACUUAAAAAUCUUCAUAUAUCUUCUGUGGGUUAUCAAUCAAGUGAUAUGGACUAAAGCUGCUCAUGUGUUUAUCAGCACUUAAAAGUGUGUUCUUCGGUGGAUGGGAUGAAGCUCUAAUUUUUUGAUAUGUUGAGGGUCUCAGGUUCCUAGAUUAUACUUUUGAUAUGAUCUUUGCUGGGAUGGAGAAAAUGAGAUGCUAGACCCACAUACUACUAGAUUGUAGUAGUCUAUCUAAGAGUUUCAGCUGCCAAUAUCUUACCUGACCCUCCCUUUUUGUUGCGAGUUCUUUUUGAAGGCUGACAUAGUAUAGGCUAGGGAACUUCUUUUGUCUUUUUGUUAGUUUCCCCAUUGUAAAUAUAUGGUUGUGUAUCUCUAAACACUAUAUCCUACUCAAUAUAUUUACUCUCUUGUUGCUCGCAUCCUUAUGUAUGGACGUUUUAAUUUGUCACA